Molecule: ribosomal RNA, 253 nt
Filed under: uncultured bacterium
Lineage: Bacteria
Description: partial 16S ribosomal RNA
Rfam family: Bacterial small subunit ribosomal RNA
Source: RNAcentral
GACAGAGGCCCCAAGCGUUAGGCGGAAUCACUGGGCUUAAAGCGUGUGUAGGCGGAUCGUUAAGUGUCUUGUGAAAUCCCACGGCUCACCCGUGGAACUGCUGGGCAUACUGGCGAUCUUGGGCCAACUAGGGGCAGCCGGAACAAGCGGUGGAGCGGUGAAAUGCGUAGAUAUCAUUUGGAACGCCAAAGGUGAAAACAGACAGCUGGGAGUGUGCUGACGCUGAGACACGAAAGCCAGGGGAGCGAACGGG